GACGAACGCUGGCGGCGUGCUUAACACAUGCAAGUCGAGCGGUAAGGCCCUUCGGGGUACACGAGCGGCGAACGGGUGAGUAACACGUGAGUAAUCUGCCCAUCACUUCGGGAUAACUCCGGGAAACCGGUGCUAAUACCGAAUAUGACCACUUCAGGCAUCUGAUGGUGGUGGAAAGUUCCGGCGGGGAUGGAUGAGCUCGCGGCCUAUCAGCUUGUUGGUGGGGUAGUGGCCUACCAAGGCUUCGACGGGUAGCCGGCCUGAGAGGGUGACCGGCCACACUGGGACUGAGACACGGCCCAGACUCCUACGGGAGGCAGCAGUGGGGAAUAUUGGACAAUGGGCGAAAGCCUGAUCCAGCAACGCCGCGUGAGGGAUGACGGCCUUCGGGUUGUAAACCUCUUUCAGCAGGGACGAAGCGCAAGUGACGGUACCUGCAGAAGAAGCACCGGCCAACUACGUG
RNAcentral lists this ribosomal RNA (463 nucleotides) under uncultured bacterium. Its description in RNAcentral is "partial 16S ribosomal RNA". It matches the Rfam family "Bacterial small subunit ribosomal RNA", at positions 28 to 507 of the family's 1533-position model. The record is from RNAcentral.